Molecule: unclassified non-coding RNA, 649 nt
Filed under: Hevea brasiliensis (rubber tree)
Lineage: Eukaryota; Viridiplantae; Streptophyta; Magnoliopsida; Malpighiales; Euphorbiaceae
Source: RNAcentral
GCAGCAUUAAGAGGGAUGAUGUUUUCAAGAGCUGUCUAGAGCUAUCUGCAUUAGCCAUGCAGGCUGAAGAUGAGGUUAAUCAGUCAGAUACGGUUUCUCAGUCGGAUAUUCAGGGAGUUGUUGAAGAUGUAAAGGAGACGUCUCAUAGGAGUCCUUCUGCAAUCAGUGCCGAAGAUAUACAUCCUGAGAAAUUGGGAAAUGAAAAUGGCACUCAUGAUUCUGACAGUGUAACCCUUCAGAAAAGUGACUUGGACGUAGAGCAUAAUGCUUCAGAUAGUGCAAGAGACCAUCCUUUUAUGAAUGAUGAACAGUCAAAGGAACAUGCUGAUUUAACAGUAGCAGCAGAGCAGGCACAAAGUGAACUGCAAGGAUUCGAUGAAAGCACCGAACGUGAUAAUGUGGAGCAGCAGACUGCAGCUUUGCUUAAAGGAGUAGAGAUAUCUCUUUGUAGGCACUUGCUUCAUGCUGGGAUGGGUUCCGCUGCUGCUAGAGAAGCCUUUGAGGCAAAUCGCGUUUCUGAGGAGGUAUUCAGAAACUCCGCAAAAUCCAUGAUAAACAAUCCAAAUUUAGCUGUCCGAAUUCAAGGAAAUUAUUUACAAUGGGACAAAGCUGCACCUAUCGUUCUCGGGAUGGCUGCAUACAAUAUGGA